This 428-nucleotide ribosomal RNA is filed under the name Bacteroidota bacterium. RNAcentral describes it as "Bacteroidetes bacterium partial 16S ribosomal RNA". It matches the Rfam family "Bacterial small subunit ribosomal RNA", at positions 355 to 776 of the family's 1533-position model. The record is from RNAcentral. Lineage: Bacteria; Pseudomonadati; Bacteroidota.
UAGGGAAUCUUCGGCAAUGGGGGGAACCCUGACCGAGCAACGCCGCGUGAGUGAAGAAGGUUUUCGGAUCGUAAAGCUCUGUUGUUAAGGAAGAACGAGUGUGAGAAUGGAAAGUUCAUGCUGUGACGGUACUUAACCAGAAAGGGACGGCUAACUACGUGCCAGCAGCCGCGGUAAUACGUAGGUCCCGAGCGUUGUCCGGAUUUAUUGGGCGUAAAGCGAGCGCAGGCGGUUAGAAAAGUCUGAAGUGAAAGGCAGUGGCUCAACCAUUGUAGGCUUUGGAAACUGUUUAACUUGAGUGCAGAAGGGGAGAGUGGAAUUCCAUGUGUAGCGGUGAAAUGCGUAGAUAUAUGGAGGAACACCGGUGGCGAAAGCGGCUCUCUGGUCUGUAACUGACGCUGAGGCUCGAAAGCGUGGGAGCGAACAGG